Pelobates cultripes (western spadefoot toad) is the source of this 252-nucleotide non-coding RNA. NCBI's taxonomy places the organism in Eukaryota, Metazoa, Chordata, Amphibia, Anura, Pelobatidae. The record is from the annotation of a GenBank genome assembly.
CUGGACUUUGAUCUAAACAUGGAAUGGAACUGAGCAACAUCUUUUAACAUAGCUGAAGGAAUGUUAUCAUGUUUGAAAUGUGUCUCCUGAAGAAAAAGAACAUCAGUUCUGGGUUUUCACCUCCCUGAACAACAAUCUACAUUUAUGUGGUGAGUUCAGGCCCCUCACAUUAAAAGACAGUACCAUUGGUAUUGCUCAGCAUAAACCAAAAGUAGUGAGGAGCCCUAAACACAACAAACAUCAGUAAAAAAA